GACGAACGCUGGCGGCGUGCUUAACACAUGCAAGUCGAACGGAAAGGCCCUGCUUUUGUGGGUUGCUCGAGUGGCGAACGGGUGAGUAACACGUGAGUAACCUGCCCUUGACUUUGGGAUAACUUCAGGAAACUGGGGCUAAUACCGGAUAGGAGCUCCUGCUGCAUGGGGGGGGUUGGUAAGUUUCGGCGGUUGGGGCUGGUAUGGCGGCUUACCAGCUUGUUGGUGGGGUAGUGGCUUACCAAGGCUUUGACGGGUAGCCGGCCUGGGAGGGUGACCGGCCACAUGGGGACUGAGAGAGGGCGCAGACUGCAACGGUAGGCAGUAGGCGGAAAUAUGGCACAAUGGGCGGAAGCCAGAGGCAGCAACGCCGCGUGCGGGAUGACGGCCUUCUGGGGGUGAACCGCUGUCGCCGUAGACGAAGCGUGAGUGACGGUAAUGGGUAAAGAAGCACCGGCUAACUACGUG
Molecule: ribosomal RNA, 468 nt
Filed under: uncultured bacterium
Lineage: Bacteria
Description: partial 16S ribosomal RNA
Rfam family: Bacterial small subunit ribosomal RNA
Source: RNAcentral